GGCUCCGUAGUGUAAUGGUUAGCACGUCUGCUUUACACGCAGAAAGUCCUGGGUUCAUGCCCCCGGUGGAGCCA
Molecule: non-coding RNA, 74 nt
Organism: Pteropus alecto (black flying fox)
Lineage: Eukaryota; Metazoa; Chordata; Mammalia; Chiroptera; Pteropodidae
Source: Rfam